GACGAACGCUGGCGGCGUGCUUAGCACAUGCAAGUCGAACGGAAAGGCCCUGCUUUUGUGGGGUGCUCGAGUGGCGAACGGGUGAGUAACACGUGAGUAACCUGCCCUUGACUUUGGGAUAACUUCAGGAAACUGGGGCUAAUACCGGAUAGGAGCUCCUGCUGCAUGGUGGGGGUUGGAAAGUUUCGGCGGUUGGGGAUGGACUCGCGGCUUAUCAGCUUGUUGGUGGGGUAGUGGCUUACCAAGGCUUUGACGGGUAGCCGGCCUGAGAGGGUGACCGGCCACAUUGGGACUGAGAUACGGCCCAGACUCCUACGGGAGGCAGCAGUGGGGAAUAUUGCACAAUGGGCGGAAGCCCGAUGCAGCAACGCCGCGUGCGGGAUGACGGCCUUCGGGUUGUAAACCGCUUUCGCCUGUGACGAAGCGUGAGUGACGGUAAUGGGUAAAGAAGCACCGGCUAACUACGUG
Molecule: ribosomal RNA, 468 nt
Filed under: uncultured bacterium
Lineage: Bacteria
Description: partial 16S ribosomal RNA
Rfam family: Bacterial small subunit ribosomal RNA
Source: RNAcentral